This 1015-nucleotide ribosomal RNA is filed under the name uncultured Planctomycetota bacterium. RNAcentral's name for it is "bacterial SSU rRNA". It matches the Rfam family "Bacterial small subunit ribosomal RNA", at positions 9 to 1035 of the family's 1533-position model. Lineage: Bacteria; Pseudomonadati; Planctomycetota. The record is from RNAcentral.
GAGUUUGAUCCUGGCUCAGAAUGAACGUUGGCGGCGUGGAUUAGGCAUGCAAGUCGAACGGGUCCGGUCUUCGGAUCGGAUCAGUGGCGCAAGGGUGAGUAAUGCGACGGUAACCAACCCCAUGGUUGGGCAUAGCCGCGGGAAACUGCGGGUAAUACCCAGCGAAGUUCGCGGGGGGCAUCCCCUGGGAACCAAAGUUCCAACGCCGUGGGACGGACCGUCGUGGUAUUAGGUUGUUGGCGGGGUAACGGCCCACCAAGCCUCUGAUGCCUACCGGGCGUGCGAGCGCGACCCGGCACACUGGGACUGAGACACUGCCCAGACUCCUACGGGAGGCUGCAGUCGAGAAUCUUCGGCAAUGGGCGCAAGCCUGACCGAGCGACGCCGCGUGGAGGAUGAAGGCCUUCGGGUUGUAAACUCCUGUCGAGGGGGAGGAAGGCGCAAGCUUGACCUAUCCCUGGAGGAAGCACGGGCUAAGUUCGUGCCAGCAGCCGCGGUAAGACGAACCGUGCGAACGUUAUUCGGAAUCACUGGGCUUAAAGCGCGUGUAGGCGGAUGGGGACGUCGGUAGCUGAAAUCCCCCGGCUCAACCGGGGAAGUGGCGCCGAAACGCCUCGUCUGGAGGGACGUAGGGGGACCUGGAACUUCCGGUGGAGCGGUGAAAUGCGUUGAGAUCGGAAGGAACGCCCGUGGCGAAAGCGAGGUCCUGGACGUCUACUGACGCUGAGACGCGAAAGCUAGGGGAGCGAACGGGAUUAGAUACCCCGGUAGUCCUAGCUGUAAACGAUGGGCACUGGGUAGGGGGCUCGCCGAUGGGCUCUCUGCCGCAGGGAAACCGUGAAGUGCCCCGCCUGGGGAGUAUGGUCGCAAGGCUGAAACUCAAAGGAAUUGACGGGGGCUCACACAGCCGGUGGAGCAUGUGGCUCAAUUCGAGGCUACCGAAGAACCUUAUCCUGGCUUGACAUGCACGGAUUAGCUGGCGGAAACGUCGUGACGCCGCAGGUGGAACGUGCAC